UACGUAGGGUCCAAGCGUUGUCCGGAUUUAUUGGGCGUAAAGAGCUCGUAGGCGGUUCGGUAAGUCGGAUGUGAAAACUCAGGGCUCAACCCGGAGACGUCAUCCGAUACUGCUGUGACUUGAGUCUGGUAGGGGAACACGGAAUACCUGGUGUAGCGGUGAAAUGCGCAGAUAUCAGGUGGAACACCGAUGGCGAAGGCAGUGUGCUGGGCCAGUACUGACGCUGAGGAGCGAAAGCGUGGGGAGCAAACAGG
This 254-nucleotide ribosomal RNA is filed under the name uncultured bacterium. Its description in RNAcentral is "partial 16S ribosomal RNA". It matches the Rfam family "Bacterial small subunit ribosomal RNA", at positions 524 to 776 of the family's 1533-position model. The record is from RNAcentral.